ACAUCGAAUUCCCUUGAUCGUUAUUUAGCAAAACGAGUUACUUCCAGUAUUCAUUUAAAUCUUUACUUUUAAAAUAUAUAUCUAUUUUAUGUUAGUUUGCUGUCUAUUCAUGCAGAAAAUGCAUUUGAAAAACAAAUGUCUAAAAAUAGUUGAGUUUUGAAGUUCGAUGGUCGGGUCUAUUUUGGUGAAAGGGGUACAGCAUGGGUAAUAGUACAAUAAUAAGUCAUGAUCGUGCUUAUGAACAAGCCAUGAGUUAGCAUAUACCAUAGUUUAUGUUGAAAAUAUCUUUACAGAUGUAAUUGAUAAAUAUAGUCUUAAGAAUUCGCCAAAUAUAGAAAAGUUCUUGGUAUAUUAUCCACCUGUUAGCAAAAUGAACUCGCCCAUUGACCCACAUUCCAGUUUGUUGUGGUAUUUUUGUACAGGGUGAUGCCAAAACAGUGCCUUUUGUUGACUGGUAAACAUUCCUUCAGUUACUAAAAUGCCUUUUUCUUUAAUUUCAGCUGGUUGCAUGGUGUGUACUGCAGAUAACUUCUCGACUUAAUCCGGCUGAUGUGAUGCUUUAGUUGAUUCGAGAGGCUACAUGUAUAUAGGUCCAGUACGUCGACAUCAUUGAUCCGGCAGUGAACAAGAUAAGUGGUUCAGCCUCCAAGAUGUGUCACCAGAAAUGCAACCGACAUUAUAGACAGGCAUGAUUACUACUCUGAUUUUGGACAGAUGGUAUACUCGUCUUCAAAAUGGAUCUGACUAGGAAUGAUGAUGGUGACUUCCCUCCUCAGAAAAAAGCUCGGUUGGAUUCGAAAGUUGGUGCAGGCGGUCAUUAGCGAUAUUUCGGUCGUAAACGCAAGAAGUCCAAGAAAUCCACUGACAAAUCAGGAAAACGUAUAUUCAAUGUCGGCGACACGUGUUUGUUCAGAUUGGACGUUUAUCUUGGAACCGUUCUUAGUCAAGUUGAUGAACAUCAUUUCCAAAUUGAGGACUAUACAGGAACAGUGCGCACCUUCAUUUGUCUGUCACUUUGAUUAAAAGAAAGUUAAAGUUGAAACUUCUAUAGCAAGGAAUAUGAAGAUGUGAACUUUGUAUUAUUAUUUUUUGAAUGUAUGAGUCUAUUGAAUGUAAAUUAAAUGCAUAUUGUGAAUAAUUAAUAAUAAUAAU
Long non-coding RNA from Lineus longissimus, 1152 nucleotides. RefSeq lists it as uncharacterized. Lineage: Eukaryota; Metazoa; Nemertea; Pilidiophora; Heteronemertea; Lineidae. The record is from RefSeq and is a predicted model, not a curated record. The transcript is spliced from 3 exons.